This 484-nucleotide long non-coding RNA is filed under the name Phoenix dactylifera (date palm). RNAcentral's name for it is "long non-coding RNA (PDAC_LNC009630)". Lineage: Eukaryota; Viridiplantae; Streptophyta; Magnoliopsida; Arecales; Arecaceae. The record is from RNAcentral.
AGCAGAGGAGGAAGUUCCAUAGUUAAGGAAAUCAUGUUUCCUGGUAGCAGUGCUUCACUUAUGCUUCAUCUAAUAUAAUCCACACAGUUUGUUUCUUAGUGCUUUGAUGUAUUUUAGAUAACUUUAAACUUACAUUUAGUUAAUGUUCUGGAACUUAUGCAGGGGCGGCCCAAUACAUUUGGAGGCCUAAGGCGGAUUCAGUGAAUGAGGCCUUUUUUUUAAAAAAUAAUUUUUUUUAAUAAGUAUAAAAUACUUAGAAAAAAGAUAUGAAAAUAGAUAGCCAUCAAGUACAUUAUUUCAACAAAAAUGCAUGUAUGCAAGAUAAAAAGUUUUUUUCAGUUUAAUAUAAUUUUUGAAUGAAAGCACGGAAAAGUAAAUAUGCUUAAGGAAGGGCUCAUAAAACUGAUUAAAUAACUGAGAUAAUGCUUCGCAAUACUGUUUACCAUGUCAAGCAAGAGCAGAGUAGGAAAAGGUUAUCCCAUGG